RNAcentral lists this long non-coding RNA (507 nucleotides) under Cricetulus griseus (Chinese hamster). RNAcentral describes it as "lncRNA (ENSCGRG00015034596.1)". Lineage: Eukaryota; Metazoa; Chordata; Mammalia; Rodentia; Cricetidae. The record is from RNAcentral.
UGUAAAGCCACCACAGGUGUGUAAAGUCACCACAGGUGUGUAAGGCCACCACAGGUGUGUGAGGCAACCACUAGAGGUGUGUAAAGCCACCACAGGUGUGUAAAGUCACCACAGGUGUGUAAGGCCACCACAGGUGUGUGAGGCAACCACUAGAGGUGUGUAAAGCCACCACAGGUGUGUAAAGUCACCACAGGUGUGUAAGGCCACCACAGGUGUGUGAGGCAACCACUAGAGGUGUGUAAAGCCACCACAGGUGUGUAAGCCACCACAGGUGUGUGAGGCAACCACUAGAGGUGUGUAAAGCCACCACAGGUGUGUAAGCCACCACAGGUGUCUAAGGCCACCACAGUUGUGUAAAGCUACCACAGGUAUGUGAGGCUACCACAGGUGUGUAAUGCCACCACAGGUGUGUAAAGCCACCACAGGUGUGUAAAGCUACCACAGGUGUGUAAAGUCACCACAGGUGUGUUCAGAGACCACAGCUCACAGCCCCUCUUCUUCUCCCUG